This 730-nucleotide ribosomal RNA is filed under the name Escherichia coli. Its description in RNAcentral is "partial 23S ribosomal RNA". It matches the Rfam family "Bacterial large subunit ribosomal RNA", at positions 532 to 1261 of the family's 2925-position model. Lineage: Bacteria; Pseudomonadati; Pseudomonadota; Gammaproteobacteria; Enterobacterales; Enterobacteriaceae. The record is from RNAcentral.
AGGGGAGUGAAAAAGAACCUGAAACCGUGUACGUACAAGCAGUGGGAGCACGCUUAGGCGUGUGACUGCGUACCUUUUGUAUAAUGGGUCAGCGACUUAUAUUCUGUAGCAAGGUUAACCGAAUAGGGGAGCCGAAGGGAAACCGAGUCUUAACUGGGCGUUAAGUUGCAGGGUAUAGACCCGAAACCCGGUGAUCUAGCCAUGGGCAGGUUGAAGGUUGGGUAACACUAACUGGAGGACCGAACCGACUAAUGUUGAAAAAUUAGCGGAUGACUUGUGGCUGGGGGUGAAAGGCCAAUCAAACCGGGAGAUAGCUGGUUCUCCCCGAAAGCUAUUUAGGUAGCGCCUCGUGAAUUCAUCUCCGGGGGUAGAGCACUGUUUCGGCAAGGGGGUCAUCCCGACUUACCAACCCGAUGCAAACUGCGAAUACCGGAGAAUGUUAUCACGGGAGACACACGGCGGGUGCUAACGUCCGUCGUGAAGAGGGAAACAACCCAGACCGCCAGCUAAGGUCCCAAAGUCAUGGUUAAGUGGGAAACGAUGUGGGAAGGCCCAGACAGCCAGGAUGUUGGCUUAGAAGCAGCCAUCAUUUAAAGAAAGCGUAAUAGCUCACUGGUCGAGUCGGCCUGCGCGGAAGAUGUAACGGGGCUAAACCAUGCACCGAAGCUGCGGCAGCGACGCUGAUGCGUUGUUGGGUAGGGGAGCGUUCUGUAAGCCUGUGAAGGUGUGC